RNAcentral lists this ribosomal RNA (295 nucleotides) under uncultured Pseudomonas sp. RNAcentral's name for it is "partial 16S ribosomal RNA". It matches the Rfam family "Bacterial small subunit ribosomal RNA", at positions 1090 to 1382 of the family's 1533-position model. Lineage: Bacteria; Pseudomonadati; Pseudomonadota; Gammaproteobacteria; Pseudomonadales; Pseudomonadaceae. The record is from RNAcentral.
CAACGAGCGACCAACCCUCGUACUUUAGUUACCAUCAUUAAGGUUGGGUACUUUAAAGUAACCGCCGGUGAUAAGCCGGAGGAAGGUGGGGAUGACGUCAAGUCCUCAUGGCCCUUACGGCCUGGGCUACACACGUGCUACAAUGGUCGGUACAAAGGGUUGCCAAGCCGCGAGGUGGAGCUAAUCCCAUAAAACCGAUCGUAGUCCGGAUCGCAGUCUGCAACUCGACUGCGUGAAGUCGGAAUCGCUAGUAAUCGUGAAUCAGAAUGUCACGGUGAAUACGUUCCCGGGCCUU